This 253-nucleotide ribosomal RNA is filed under the name uncultured bacterium. RNAcentral describes it as "partial 16S ribosomal RNA". It matches the Rfam family "Bacterial small subunit ribosomal RNA", at positions 524 to 776 of the family's 1533-position model. The record is from RNAcentral.
UACGGAGGGGGCGAGCGUUACCCGGAUUUACUGGGUGUAAAGGGCGUGUAGGCGGUCUCUCAAGUCCGAUGCUAAAGACCGAAGCUCAACUUCGGGGGUGCGUUGGAUACUGUGAGGCUAGACGGUCGGAGGGGGUAGCGGAAGUUCCGGAGUAGCGGUGAAAUGCGCAGAUACCGGAAGGAACGCCGAUAGCGAAGGCAGCUACCUGGACGAUUGGUGACGCUGAGACGCGAAAGCGUGGGGAGCAAACCGG